UUUGAAUAGUUUAUGGAUUUUGC
This 23-nucleotide non-coding RNA is filed under the name Arabidopsis thaliana (thale cress). Lineage: Eukaryota; Viridiplantae; Streptophyta; Magnoliopsida; Brassicales; Brassicaceae. The record is from RNAcentral.